RNAcentral lists this ribosomal RNA (388 nucleotides) under uncultured bacterium. RNAcentral's name for it is "bacterial SSU rRNA". It matches the Rfam family "Bacterial small subunit ribosomal RNA", at positions 955 to 1337 of the family's 1533-position model. The record is from RNAcentral.
UGCAAAACGCGAAGAACCUUACCUGGUCUUGACAUACAGAGAACUUUCCAGAGAUGGAUUGGUGCCUUCGGGAACUCUGAUACAGGUGCUGCAUGGCUGUCGUCAGCUCGUGUCGUGAGAUGUUGGGUUAAGUCCCGCAACGAGCGCAACCCGUUUCCUUACUUGCCAUCGGGUCAUGCCGGGAACUUUAAGGAUACUGCCAGUGACAAACUGGAGGAAGGCGGGGAACGACGUCAAGUCAUCAUGGCCCUUACGACCAGGGCUAACACACGUGCUACAAUGGUCGGUACAAAGGGUUGCUACCUAGCGAUAGGAUGCUAAUCUCAAAAAAGCCGAUCGUAGUCCGGAAUUGGAGUCUGCAACUCGACUCCAUGAAUCGGAAUCGCUA